UAGUUUAGUCUGGAGGCUGGGGAAGAGGACAGAGGCAGGGGAGGAGACGGCACACUCAGAGGUGAGAUGACUGGCUGGAGGUAGAGGCUGAACCCCAGGUAGUUUAGUCUGGAGGCUGGGGAAGAGGACAGAGGCAGGGGAGGAGACGGCACACGCAGAGUAUGAGAAGUUGGAGGGUAUUCCAGAGCUGAUCUUGGAGCAUGGAGAGGGAGAGACGGAGAGAGAGGACAGGGACAGGUCGUGUACCCAGCUACCCCAGGGAGACAGCCCCGAGCCUGGCCCCACAACCCAACUCCCCUCCACUGAACGCCUGCAGCACCAGACACAGGUAGGG
Oncorhynchus keta (chum salmon) is the source of this 334-nucleotide long non-coding RNA. RefSeq lists it as uncharacterized. The transcript has 3 exons. Lineage: Eukaryota; Metazoa; Chordata; Actinopteri; Salmoniformes; Salmonidae. The record is from RefSeq and is a predicted model, not a curated record.